Long non-coding RNA from Danio aesculapii, 1980 nucleotides. RefSeq lists it as uncharacterized. The record is from RefSeq and is a predicted model, not a curated record. Lineage: Eukaryota; Metazoa; Chordata; Actinopteri; Cypriniformes; Danionidae. The transcript is spliced from 4 exons.
AUCAUCUUUGAGAGCAUACACUCAACCGUGCAGGGCACCCACGUUUAUUCGUAUGACAUGGACAAUUUCCGUUUAAGGUGCUAGUUAGCCGGUUCGCUAAUGUUAGCAAUGACGUGGCUCAACCGGCAGAUUAUUUAAAUAAUAUCAGUAAUAAAGUUAUCUUUAGAAUAUCAUCGUUUAAUUUACAUGGCAGACAUUAACUUUGCUUCUGCAACAAAUUGUCGAGACUAACGUUAUGUUUUAAAUGGCUUAUGUUGAUUAAUAAAACAAAUUAAGCUACUUUAGCCGCAAAAGAUGAACUAGUUGGUUACGUAGUAGCAUAAAUUUACUUGUAGGAUAGAGGUAAAGUUGGUUUUAUAUUCGCACAUUCGCACUUUCCCCUUAAUAAUAUAAUUUCAUAAAAGUAUUAUUUGCAAACUCUAAAUAGCGAAAUCAUAUUAGCAGCCAAUGACGUAUCAAAAUACAGCAUUGUUCACAGUCAAAUAAACAGUGUUAAUGUUGUUUUCAAGUCAAACUUGCAUGCUAAUUCCGAUCGAAUAUUCAAAGUAACAUGGUAAACAAUGUAGAGACUUCUAAAUGAACAAAUGUGCGAAUAUAAAACCAACUUUACCUCUAUACUUGUAGGUUAUAGUCACCUUCACAGUCAUUGAAAGUACGUGUUUAGUUAUGUUAACUUCUGUUUAUGUUCCUUUUCUGUAGGAUUUUCAUAUAGUAGCUGAUAUUGUGCACAACCAGGAAGCAAGUCCACUAUGUAAUAUUUCACAGAUUUAGCGUAUGUGGAGAAAAAUAUUUGCAUACUUCAAAGCUUUAACCUCAAUGACUUGUUGAUUUGUAUUCAGGAAUAGUCAAAGGAAAGUUUAGUGGUGUAUUUAAAAAAAAAAAAAAGGUAAAAUUCUCAUCCAAAUAGCUCCAAUUGCAACUCAAAGAAAUCAAGCUGCAACUGCAAAUUAUGUAAUUUCUUCAUCCAAGAAAAGUUUCAAUUUCAAAUGAUUAAAAUGAAUUCUGUAUAGGGCAGUGUUUCUCAACCCUGUUCUUGGAGGCACACACUGUAAAAAAUGAAUCUUGAGGCUUGUAAUUUUCAUUAAAAAAAUUAAUGAGGUCAUUAAAAAUAAUGAGCAUAUUUUCUUUAAAAAAUUGAUAUUCUGGAUUUAUUAUAAAAUAUUAAGAAGAUUUCGCUAAUAUAACUAAGAUUUAAAUUUUACUUAUUUUUUUAAGCAAACUAGUGCAAUUACUAAGCUUAAUUUGAGAAACCAGUUAAGCUAAUAAAAUUGAGGAAAGAUGGCUUCACGUUUAUUUUAAGAAAAUUCACUCAAUUAUGUGGAUUUGAUUGAGAUGUUUGCAUUUGAAUCUCAACAACGGCAGUGAUCAGACGACAUUUUGAAGGAGCAGAUCAACCGCGAGCAUGUUAAGAGUUUAAUGAAGAAAACUUUCGCAGUGUUUUCCCACUAAAGAGGAGCAGUUUAUUGAGGCAGAUUUUGAUAAAGAGAAUGGGUGCCAUACAUCAGACCUCACAUUAAAUCAGGGAUGAAACGAGAGAUGUCGUCCUCUGUUGCUGGUCUAUCUGUAUGAAUAAGAGGAAGAGCUCAUCCAGGAGUGCAAUUGUGGGAAUGCACAGAGAAUUGCUGUCUGUCAGAGGGAUGACCAACCAUGAGGACUUCUGCAUUGUCUUGGAGGAUAAGUGAGUCAUGGCUAGCCUGGAAAAUCUAGAAUCGCUGAACUGCAUUUAUACAAAUAUUCCACAAAUUAAAAUCACUUACAAAGAAAUGAAUAUUAAGUUUGCAAUACACAAAUUCUGUCAAAUAUUGUCUAAAAUGUGACUAUUCCUACAAAGGAAAGUUGACAGGUCAGUUUUUUCCAUGACAUGGAUAAAGGAAUUUUUAUCAGAGAUUAGCAUUGCUGUAAAUUUUAUAUAGAUUUGUUUAACAUAUUGUACCAUUUUGUUAUCAGUGUAACAUGUAAUAAAAUGAUAUUUGGCCUAAA